Molecule: ribosomal RNA, 459 nt
Filed under: uncultured bacterium
Lineage: Bacteria
Description: partial 16S ribosomal RNA
Rfam family: Bacterial small subunit ribosomal RNA
Source: RNAcentral
CCUACGGGUGGCAGCAGUGAGGAAUAUUGGUCAAUGGGCGCGAGCCUGAACCAGCCAAGUCGCGUGAGGGAAGACGGUCCUAUGGAUUGUAAACCUCUUUUGUCGGGGAGCAAAAGACGCCACGCGUGGCGUUCCGAGAGUACCCGAAGAAAAAGCAUCGGCUAACUCCGUGCCAGCAGCCGCGGUAAUACGGAGGAUGCGAGCGUUAUCCGGAUGUCGUGGGUUUAAGGGGGGCGCAGGCGGAAGAUCAAGUCAGCGGUAAACUUGGGAGGCUCAACCUCUUCGAGCCGUUGAAGCUGGUUUUCUUGAGUGAGUGAGAAGUAUGCGGAAUGCGUGGUGUAGCGGUGAAAUGCAUAGAUAUCACGCAGAACUCCGAUUGCGAAGGCAGCAUACCGGCGCUCAACUGACGCUCAUGCACGAAAGUGUGGGUAUCGAACAGGAUUAGAUACCCCUGUAGUC